RNAcentral lists this ribosomal RNA (466 nucleotides) under uncultured bacterium. RNAcentral describes it as "partial 16S ribosomal RNA". It matches the Rfam family "Bacterial small subunit ribosomal RNA", at positions 28 to 507 of the family's 1533-position model. The record is from RNAcentral.
GAUGAACGCUGGCGGCGUGCUUAACACAUGCAAGUCGAACGGAAAGGCUCCUGCUUGCAGGGGUACUCGAGUGGCGAACGGGUGAGUAACACGUGGGUGAUCUGCCCUGCACUUCGGGAUAAGCCUGGGAAACUGGGUCUAAUACCGGAUAGGACGAUGGUUUGGAUGCCAUUGGGGAAAGAUUUUUCGGUGUGGGAUGAGCUCGCGGCCUAUCAGCUUGUUGGUGGGGUAAUGGCCUACCAAGGCGUCGACGGGUAGCCGGCCUGAGAGGGUGUACGGCCACAUUGGGACUGAGAUACGGCCCAGACUCCUACGGGAGGCAGCAGUGGGGAAUAUUGCACAAUGGGCGCAAGCCUGAUGCAGCGACGCCGCGUGGGGGAUGACGGCCUUCGGGUUGUAAACUCCUUUCGCUAGGGACGAAGCGCAAGUGACGGUACCUGGAGAAGAAGCACCGGCUAACUACGUG